AGAGUUCCUUUCUGGCUCAGGACGAACGCUGGCGGCGUGCCUAAUACAUGCAAGUCGAGCGAGCUUGCCUAGAUGAUUUUAGUGCUUGCACUAAAUGAAACUAGAUACAAGCGAGCGGCGGACGGGUGAGUAACACGUGGGUAACCUGCCCAAGAGACUGGGAUAACACCUGGAAACAGAUGCUAAUACCGGAUAACAACACUAGACGCAUGUCUAGAGUUUGAAAGAUGGUUCUGCUAUCACUCUUGGAUGGACCUGCGGUGCAUUAGCUAGUUGGUAAGGUAACGGCUUACCAAGGCAAUGAUGCAUAGCCGAGUUGAGAGACUGAUCGGCCACAUUGGGACUGAGACGCGGGCCAAACUCCUACUGGAUGCAGCAGGAUGGAAUCUUCCACAAUGGAUGAAAGUCUGAUGGAGCAACGCCCGCGUGAGUGAAGAAGGGUUUCGGCUCGUAAAGCUCUGUUGGUAGUGAAGAAAGAUAGAGGUAGUAACUGGCCUUUAUUUGACGGUAAUUACUUAGAAAGUCACGGCUAACUACGUGCCAGCAGCCGCGGUAAUACGUAGGUGGCAAGCGUUGUCCGGAUUUAUUGGGCGUAAAGCGAGUGCAGGCGGUUCAAUAAGUCUGAUGUGAAAGCCUUCGGCUCAACCGGAGAAUUGCAUCAGAAACUGUUGAACUUGAGUGCAGAAGAGGAGAGUGGAACUCCAUGUGUAGCGGUGGAAUGCGUAGAUAUAUGGAAGAACACCAGUGGCGAAGGCGGCUCUCUGGUCUGCAACUGACGCUGAGGCUCAAAGCAUGGGUAGCGAACAGGAUUAGAUACCCUGGUAGUCCAUGCCGUAAACGAUGAG
This 845-nucleotide ribosomal RNA is filed under the name uncultured bacterium. RNAcentral describes it as "bacterial SSU rRNA". It matches the Rfam family "Bacterial small subunit ribosomal RNA", at positions 8 to 813 of the family's 1533-position model. The record is from RNAcentral.